RNAcentral lists this ribosomal RNA (484 nucleotides) under uncultured bacterium. Its description in RNAcentral is "partial 16S ribosomal RNA". It matches the Rfam family "Bacterial small subunit ribosomal RNA", at positions 30 to 507 of the family's 1533-position model. The record is from RNAcentral.
AUUGAACGCUGGCGGAAUGCUUUACACAUGCAGGUCGAGCGGCAGCACGGGGGCAACCCUGGUGGCGAGCGGCGAACGGGUGAGUAAUACAUCGGAACAUGCCCAGUCGUGGGGGAUAACACUUCGAAAGAAGUGCUAAUACCGCAUACGUCCUGAGGGGGAAAGCGGGGGAUCGCAAGACCUCGCGCGAUUGGAGUGGCCGAUGUCAGAUUAGCUAGUUGGUGGGGUAAAGGCCUACCAAGGCAACGAUCUGUAGCUGGUCUGAGAGGAUGAUCAGCCACACUGGGACUGAGACACGGCCCAGACUCCUACGGGAGGCAGCAGUGGGGAAUUUUGGACAAUGGGGGCAACCCCGAUCCAGCCAUUCCGCGUGAGUGAAGAAGGCCUUCGGGUUGUAAAGCUCUUUCGGCAGGAACGAAACGGUGAGCUCUAACAUAGCUUGCUAAUGACGGUACCUGAAGAAGAAGCACCGGCUAACUACGUG